This 1045-nucleotide ribosomal RNA is filed under the name uncultured fungus. RNAcentral's name for it is "eukaryotic LSU rRNA". The stretch from base 611 to 1045 matches the Rfam family "Eukaryotic large subunit ribosomal RNA", at positions 1 to 429 of the family's 3401-position model. Lineage: Eukaryota; Fungi. The record is from RNAcentral.
UCCGUAGGUGAACCUGCGGAAGGAUCAUUACCACACCGAUCCAAGAUCACCCCCCGUGAAUGCGGUGCCUUUCUCCUGAAGGGCGCCCACUUUAUAUAAACCAUUCAUUUGCCCUGCGGGCUCGCUUAAGUGCGAGGAGGCAGGAUGAACCCCAAACCGAACCAGAGAUGACAACAGUAUCUGAAUGUGAAGGAUGGAACGCCCUGCCCUUCGGGGUGGGUGGACCCCCUGAACGCUAAUGACAUUACAACUUUCAGCAACGGAUGUCUAGGCUCCCACAACGAUGAAGAACGCAGCGAAAUGCGAUACGUAAUGCGAAUUGCAAGACCUUGUGAAUCAUCGAAUCUUUGAACGCACCUUGCGCUCCUUGGUAUUCCGAGGAGCAUGCCUGUUUGAGUGUCAUUAAAUUCUCAACCUCACCCGUUUUCUGAACGGUUCUCCGAGGCUUGGAUGUGGGGGUUUGUGCAGGCUGCCUCAGUGCGGUCUGCUCCCCUGAAAUGCAUUAGCGAGUUCGUACUGAGCUCCGUCUAUUGGUGUGAUAAUUGUCUACGCCGUGGACAGGGUUUAGACUCGCUUCUAACCGUCCGCAAGGACAAUACCUUUGACAAUUUGACCUCAAAUCAGGUAGGACUACCCGCUGAACUUAAGCAUAUCAAUAAGCGGAGGAAAAGAAACUAACAAGGAUUCCCCUAGUAACUGCGAGUGAAGCGGGAAAAGCUCAAAUUUAAAAUCUGGCGGUCCUUGGCCGUCCGAGUUGUAAUCUAGAGAAGUGUUACCCGCGUCGGACCGUGUACAAGUCUCCUGGAAUGGAGCGUCAUAGAGGGUGAGAAUCCCGUCUUUGACACGGACUACCGAGGCUUUGUGGUGCGCUCUCAAAGAGUCGAGUUGUUUGGGAAUGCAGCUCAAAAUGGGUGGUAAAUUCCAUCUAAAGCUAAAUAUUGGCGAGAGACCGAUAGCGAACAAGUACCGUGAGGGAAAGAUGAAAAGAACUUUGGAAAGAGAGUUAAACAGUACGUGAAAUUGCUGAAAGGGAAACGCUUGAAGU